GCCGCGCUUCCCAGUGCAUAGCUGCCAUGUUACAGUACACCACCCUGUGGGGAAGGAGUCGGUCUGAUCUGGGUAGGCCCAUUACCCUGACCUACUGUAUGAGUACUCAUUACCCUAUAAUGCAAUCCCUUGCAGAGGAAAAAAAAAAAAUCUACAUCUCAUCCCAAAAUAAAAACGAGUUUAAUCGAUUGAUUAACUGUUUGUGUAAUAACACAUAAAGUCAUCUGCACUGAUGAUGUUUGUAGUAACAUUUUUAACCUUUCAAAACAGAGACACAACUGUAAUAUUGACUUUCCUAAGUAAAAAAUAAUGCACUUGCCAAUGAGCUCUGCAAGACAGCAACAACAGGACAGCAGCAACAGCCCUUACUGAAUACAGCUCUGACUGCAACCACAACCACAUCUGGGCAGAUGAUAUGUUGCUUGGCAACUUUGAUUGUGACAUCAUAUGAUGAUAAUGACAAUGCAAUGAUGAAACAAAACUAUCUUGUUCAAAGAAUUCCAUUCCAUUAUUGCAGCGUGUCUGUCGUGGUUGGUUUUGACACAGGGUGGCGCCAAAGUCUGUCCAUACACCGUGUAUACCUAGAGGUUUCCUUUCACCGGCUGUCAUGUUACUCUAGCACAAAAAGUGCAAUUUAUUUCAUUUUUAUAAGUGCAUGUCUCGUAAUUGACCGAGGUAAAGACAGAUUCAGGUUGGAAAUUCGACGGAUAUUCUCCUGUAGUUUUCCUUACGUCCACCAACAGCAGUUAGGGACCGUCAACAUAGUGACAAAAAAAAAAAUCUAAUUUCAAUAGCUCUUUAACCAUUACUCCUAAAACUUUCAAAACUGGUUCUAGCUAAGCUGAUGGCAUAGACACAUAUUGCACACAUUUUUUUUUGUCGAUUUACACCUCACACUAUUUUCAAUUAUUUAUUUCAAGGUUUCUAAUUUCAAUAGCUCCUUGGUCAUGUGACCUACUGACCUCAAACAAGGUUCAGACUGUACACUCAGUGGGUCUACACAUUGCACACCCUUUUGUUUUUCCAUUUCCUUCUCACACACCUGUCACUCACACACCUACAUGUAUUCACUUGGGCCUUAUCCCUGGGGCAUUCCUGACCUCCAGGCAGGCCCCCAUUGACCUGGUGACCUCUGACUCCUGCCUACACAUUGUACACCCUUUAGUUUGUCCAUUUUCAUCUCACACGAUUUUACAUGAAUUUUUCAAACAUUCAAUAGCUCCUUGGUCAUGUGACCCUCUCGCAGAACUCCCCAGCUACGGCGCUCGCUGGCCCCACACGUUGUAGGUGGGGAGGUCUUCUCUAUGCUCGCUAGACUUCAGGUGGAGACUAAACCCAUUGGCCCCGCAGUGAUUGGGCAUUGCAUGGAUCUGGCUCAUGCCCUACAAAGUGGGGAGAGGUAUCUCCAGCUUGUCUGGGGAGGGAGGCGUACAUCUGAUGUGGGUAGUACCAUCCACGCCCAUUGAUUUGCUGCGGAACCAUAAAACGGAGGGAAGAAGCCUAGGUUCCCACUGGGCACGGAUCAACUUGAUGAAAUUGAAAGGAGCGUACCCACCUGUCGCGGUCACACUUAAAUCACCCCGUUGGGUGACUGUGACCCCCUCAUGUCAAAGUGAGGAAUAUCGAUGAAGCGCUGGAAAAGGUGGUUCCUAUGCCUCUGUCCCAGAGGGCUGACUGGGCAAGCAAAUGUUUGAAAGGGAAUGAUUAUUUUCUGUUACUUCUUCCCGACACCCGGUCGAUGUUGCCGCUAGAUACUGCAAUGGGUAUUUGGUUCUCAAGCCUAUACGUAUUGCGCUGGCGCUUGAUGUCGAUUGGGUGUAAAAACCCAGUUAAAGCCCGCUGGAGGUUAGUAGCGGAAACAGAUGUCCAGUUUGUAAGACAGAAAAGCCUCUGAUAAUACCACCGGACGUUACUCUAAUGGAUGCCAAUUUGAUAUCUGACCGUCACAUGCUACCCUUUACGGUCGCACUCAAACCACCUUCGGGGAGAGGUGUGAACCCCUCAUGUCAAAGUGAGGAAAUUCGAUGAAGCGGGGGUAAACGGCGGGACAUAAUUAAGAGUCUCUUGAGGUAGCCCAAUACCUCGUCAUCUAAUUAGUGACACGCAUGAAUGGAUGAACGAGAUUCCCACUAUCCCUACCUAUUAUCUAGCGAAACCACAGCCAAGGGAACGGGCUUGACGGAAUCAGCGGGGAUUGAAGACCCUGUUGAGCUUGACUCUAGUCUGGCAUUUGAAGAGAUAUGAGAGGUGUAGAAUAAGUGGGAGACCUCGGUCAAUGGUGAAAUAAUACUACUCUUAUUGUUUUUUUACUUACCCAGUGAGGCGGGGAGGUGCUCAGGGGACCGUGGCAGGUGGGGAGUUUGACUGGGGCAGUUCACCUGUCAAACGGUAAUGCAGGUGUCCUAAGGCGAGCUCAGGAAGGACAGAAACCUCCCGUGGAGCAGAAGGGCAAAGGCUCGCUUGAUCUUGAUUUUCAGUAUGAAUACAGACCCGUGAAAGCGGGGCCUCAUGAUCCUUCUGAAUUUUGGGCUUUUAAGCAGGAGGUGUCAAAAGUUACCACAAGGAUAACUGGCUUGUGGCUGCCACGCGUUCCUAGCGACGUCGGCUCUUCCUAUCAUUGCGAAGCAGAAUUCACCAAGCGUUGGAUUGUUCACACACUAAUAGUGAGCUGGGUUUAGACCAUCGUGAGACAGGUUAGUUUUACCCUACUGAUGAUGUGUUGUUGCAAUAGUAAUCCUGCUCAGAACGAAAGGAACCACAGGUUCAAACAUUUGGUGUAUUUGAUUGGCUGAGGAGCCAAUGGUGCGAAGCUACCAUCUGUGGUAUUAUGACUGAAUGCCUCUAACUCAGAAUCUCCCCUAAACGUAAGGAUACUGUAGCGCUGAGGAUCUUCGGGUUGACCUGGGAUAGACUGCCUCUUCUGGCAGCUGAGUAGAGCCAUUUCGUGACUGGGUUGGGGUGUGGCCAGAUGAGUUGCCGCCCCUCUCCUGAUGUGCACUGCAUGUUUGUGGGGAACCAGGUGCUAAAUCCCUCGUAGACGACCUGAUUCUGGGUCAGGGUUUCGUACGUAGCAGCGCAGCUUACUCACUGCGGUCUAUUGAAAGUCAACCCUCGAUCCAAGCUUU
This 3125-nucleotide ribosomal RNA is filed under the name Oncorhynchus tshawytscha (Chinook salmon). Its description in RNAcentral is "eukaryotic LSU rRNA". The stretch from base 1798 to 3125 matches the Rfam family "Eukaryotic large subunit ribosomal RNA". Lineage: Eukaryota; Metazoa; Chordata; Actinopteri; Salmoniformes; Salmonidae. The record is from RNAcentral.